RNAcentral lists this ribosomal RNA (253 nucleotides) under uncultured bacterium. RNAcentral's name for it is "partial 16S ribosomal RNA". It matches the Rfam family "Bacterial small subunit ribosomal RNA", at positions 524 to 776 of the family's 1533-position model. The record is from RNAcentral.
UGCGUAGGGUGCAAGCGUUAAUCGGAAUUACUGGGCGUAAAGCGUGCGCAGGCGGUUUUGUAAGUCUGUCGUGAAAUCCCCGGGCUCAACCUGGGAAUUGCGAUGGAGACUGCAAGGCUAGAAUCUGGCAGAGGGGGGUAGAAUUCCACGUGUAGCAGUGAAAUGCGUAGAGAUGUGGAGGAACACCGAUGGCGAAGGCAGCCCCCUGGGUCAAGAUUGACGCUCAUGCACGAAAGCGUGGGGAGCAAACAGG